RNAcentral lists this long non-coding RNA (5769 nucleotides) under Carica papaya (papaya). RNAcentral describes it as "long non-coding RNA (CPAP_LNC009341)". Lineage: Eukaryota; Viridiplantae; Streptophyta; Magnoliopsida; Brassicales; Caricaceae. The record is from RNAcentral.
AACGAAAAUGGUUUUGUGAUCACAGAACCCACAAUGUUAUAGGUCGACCCAUCAGCAAUGGUCACAGGAAAAGGUGGUUUAUGUAGUCAAAAACUACAAAAAAAUAUUAGAAUUAUUUGUUAUGUGAUCUGUGACACCAGAAUCAAUUACUCAUCUAUUUGAGCAGAUAAAAUAUUUUUUCUCUGAUUCAACAAGAGCAGAAAAUUUAUUUAAAAAUUUUGAAUACUGAGUGAAUUUAGCAUAUUCAUCAACUAAAAUCAUAACAGUUGUCUCAAAAAAUAAGCUAGCAGUAGCAACAACAAUAUUAGUAGUCCAUAUCACCUGACUGCGAUUCUGUAAUUUUUUACAGUAUCGCUUUAUAUGUCUUCAUUCAUAAUAGUAAUAGCAGACAAUAUUAUCACCCAUUUUAAUCCAUAAAUUUACAAAAAUGUUAUCAAGAAUAUCCAAAUACAGUAGCCGAAGAUACACGGAAAACACUACAAAUAAACAAGAAAUUCUAAGAAAACAAAGUAUCUCUUAUCACACGGAAACCAAAAGAACCACACUGCCACCACCGGAGACUAAUUGCCGCCGCAUGCACCGCCGAUAGAGAGUCAUGCGCCGUUACCGGAAAACCGUCUGCCGCUACCAAAAACGCCAACUAACCUCUCUUCGGCUAGAAAUCAGCACAUAACUAAAAUACACACCUAAAUCCGAAAUGUAACUCCCAAAAUCGCCCCAAAUUGCGCGAACUAGAAAAGACUUGUUGUCGCGCGAUCUGCUCAGCCUCGGCUUUCCUCCACUCCGACCUUCUACUUUCAUGCUCAGAACUGGCCGGCUAAGCUUCCCUUCACCUUCUGUCUUGGCACGAGAUAGACACAACACCGUAAUUUCAAAUCGUCGCACAAACAGCUGGCAAACCCAACUCUGCAACUCCAAAUAGCCACCCAAACGGCCUCCUCUUCUUCUGCGUACACCACCGUGCUGGCCGCAUUUUGAACUGGCCGGAUACUGGUGGUUGACUUCCUCCGGCAUCGAGAAUGAGUUGUUUAACCUUUCUUUAAUCUAAUAUAUGUUGAUCCCUAAAACCCUAACCCUAACCCUAACUCGAUACUAUGUAAAGAGUUAGAGAAGAAAAAUACUACAUAUUUCUUAUAUUUCAUUCAUAAGUCUAAGGGUAUACAUAUAUAAAAGAAAGAUCUACAUAUAAAAAUAUUGAAAGUCGACCUAAAAAUGAUGGGGAAAAAAAUUUCUUUCUUCAUUUUUCAAGCACAAUAAUAUGCUUAUUUAUAGAGAAUUCUGUAACAGAAUUCUGGAAAAAGAUGCCUACAGCAAAAGUGGUGGCACGCCUACCUGCAAUUCUAACAAAAGAAAAAAAAAUAUUUUUAGAAAAAUCCUUCCCAAUUACAGACUGUAAAUAGUAAAUUAACUUCCUACAAAUUAACUUCCUACACUAUCCCUCAAUCUAUUUUAGAUAUAUGCUAAGUAAACCUAAAUUGGAUAUGAUUUUCUCAAAUAUUGGUCUCGGUAGUGCCUUUAUGAGGAUAUCAACAACUUGUUGAUUUGUUGGAAUGUGCAUAAGGACUACGGUUCCAUCUUCUAUCUUCUCUUUGAUGAAAUGUCGAUUGAUCUCCACAUGUUUAGUCCUAUCAUGAUGGACUGGGUUCUUGGCCAUACUGAUAGUUAUUGAUUGUCACACCAAAUUUUCAUAGUAGUGUCAGUAGGUAUUUUUAGUUCUUAGAGCACACGUCUUAUCCAUAUUCCUUCACAUAUUCCGUGGGCGAGAGCAUGAAAUUUUGAUUCUGCACUACUGCGAGAGACAACUGAUUGUUUCUUACUACGCCAAGUGACUAAGUUUCCCCAAACAUAUGUACAAUAGCCAGAUGUAGACCUUCUAUCUGUUUUUGAACCUGCCCAAUCAGCAUCUAUAAAGGCUUCAACUUCUCUAGUCACUUUCUUCUGGAAGAAUAAGCCCUGUCCUGGUGUCUUUUUUAGGUAUCUCAGAAUCCUGUACACUGCUCUCAUGUGUAUCUCAGUCUGUUAGUUCAUAAAUUGACUCAUUGUACUAACUGCAAAGCUGAUAUCUGGUCUUGUGUGUGCCAGAUAUAUGAGUUUUCUAACCAAUUUUUGGUACCUCUCUCUAUCAAGUUUGUCACAAUCUUCAAAACCAAGUUUUAUAGUAAAAUCCAUAGGCGUGUCAGCUGGCUUACAACCAAGCAUCCAUGUUUCCUUUAGGAGAUCAAGUACAUAUUUUUGUUGUGCUACAGAGAUUCUUUUCUUUGAUCGUGCAACUUCCAUGCCUAUGAAGUAUUUGAGUGCUCUAAGGUCUUUGAUCUCAAAUUCUUUUACCAAAUAUUCUUUCAGUCUCUGGAUCUCCUCAUAGUGAUUUCCUGUAAUAAUAAUGUCAUCAACAUAUAUAAUCAAAAUUGACUUCUUACUUGAAUCACCAUGCUUGAUGAAAAGAGUAUGGUCAGACUGACACUGCUCAUACCCAACUUCCUUUACUACUCUUAUGAACCUCUCGAACCAUGCUCUUGGUGAUUACUUGAGUUCAUAGAGUGAUUUCUUAAGUCUGUACACCUUAUGAGGGCUCUCAGAUAUUUCAAAUCCUGGAGGAAUAUCCAUAUAAACCUCUUCUUUCAAAUCACCAUUAAGAAAUGCAUUCUUCACAUAUAGCUGAAACAAGAGCCAGUCAAGAUUUGAUACAAGAUAAAACAGUAUCCGUAUCGUAUUAUGUUUGGCAACAGGGGUAAAAAUCUCUUGAUAAUCUAUCCCAUAUGACUGUGUGAAUCUUUUUGCAACAAGACGAGUUAUUUAUCUGUUUAUACUAUCAUCAGGAUUAUAUUUGGUUGUAAAAACUCAUUUAGAUCCUACCUGGUGUUUUCCUAUGGGCAGUUCAGUCAGCUCUCAUGUCUCAUUCUUCUCAAGAGCUCUCAUCUUUUCUUGAAUAACUGCUCUCCAUUCUGGUAUUUGAAGGGCUUCAUGAACAGUUUUCAGUUCUGGAGAGCUUUUAUCUAGUUUACUCACAAAUGCAUGAUAUUCUGAAGACAAAUUGUCAAAUGACACAAUCUUGUAUAGGAUGAUUAGUGCAAGAUCUGGUACCUUUUCUCAAUGCAAUAGGCAGAUCAUCAUCAGUAGUAAGGUUUAAAGCAUUAUUACCUAGUGAAGCCUGGACAAUUGGAAACAAGGUUGAGUUAUGAUAGAGUUCGGUCUCUUCUGCUACUUUCCCUUUCUGAGUCUUGUUCCUUCUAGUAUAGACACGUAACUCAUUUAUUGCAGAAAAUGUGUCCUUAGUUCCUACCACAGAUUCUGGUUCAGGCUCAUUCUGUGUGGAUAGUAUCUAUGAAAGGGUUUGAGUGGACUGGAAUAAGUGAAGAUAUGAUGGCAUCCCAAAGGUGAUAUUCCUCAGUAACUUUCUCCCCUUGAAUAUCACUUUUGGUAUAAAAUGGUUGAUUUUCGAAAAAGAUUACAUCCAUAGUGCUGUAAAACCGACGAGUAUCUGAAAAAAAACAUUUGUAUCUUUUUUUAUUGGAAGAAUACGCAACAAAAAUACACUUGAGAGCUCUAGAAUCAAGUUUGCCCCGUAGAUGAGAAUAAACAUGAAUAUAGGCAGAGCACCCAAAGACUUUUAAGUGAUAAAGAAUUUAGAAUGUGAGAGUUUGGAAAAAACUAUGAAAAAAGCUCAUAGGGUGUUUGAAACUGUAGUAUACAGGAAGACAUUCUGUUUAUUAAAUAGGUGGUAGUAAGUAAGGCUUCCCCCCAAAACUGUUUUGGAACAUGUGAGGUGAAUAUAAUGGAUCGGGCAACUUCAAGGAUGUGCCUGUUUUUCUUCUCGGCUACACCGUUUUGUUGAGGAGUAUAAGCACAAGAACUUUGGUGAAUUAUCCCAUUUUCUGCAAAGUAGUUUUGAAGGGUUAACUUAAAAUACUCACAUGCAUUAUCGGAUCUCAAUACUUGUAUGGUAGUACCGAACUAGGUUUUGAUCAUGGUGCUGAACUUUUUGAAAAUUGCACCUACUUCUGAUUUUUCUUUCAUAAGAAACACUAAAAUGACUCUAGUAUAAUCAUCAAUAAAGGAUACAAACCACUUAUUUACAGAUAUAUUAGUAAUUCUGGAGGAACCCCAGACAUCACUGUGAAUUAAUGAAAAGGGUUUUGAAGGUUUAUAUUUUAGACCAGGAAAUGAACUUUGAAUAUGUUUAGAGAACUGGCAAACUUCGCAUUGAAAUGAAAGUGGAUUUUUAUUCGUGAAUAAUAAAGGAAACAUUCUUUUUAAAUAUAAGAAAUUUAGAUGUUCUAAGCGAAAAUGUCAUAACAUAAUUUCAUUAUCACUACUAGGGCUUCUUGUAAAAACUGAAUUAGCACAUACUGCUUUUGAGUUUGUCCACUAGAGAGGGCAGCUUGAAGUAGGUAGAGACCAGAUUUCAUCCUAGCACUGCCAAUUGUCUUCCCCGAAUCCAAGUUCUGAAAUUCACACAACGUUGAACCAAAUUUAGCAACACAGCUAAGUUCUCCAGAUAGCUUACUUACUGAUAGCAAGUUACAGUCCAAAUUAGGUACAAAGAGAACAGAAUGUAGAGUCAUCUUUGAUGAUAUAAUAACAGACUCGAUUUCAACCACUUUCGAGAUAGACCCAUCAGCAAUUUUAAUUGUAAAACACUCAGAGCACGGUCUGUAAUCUUGAAAUAAGGAAGCAUUACCAGUCAUAUGAUCUGACGCCCCGGAAUCAACUAUCCAGAUCUGUCCACUUGUUGAGCAAGCUGUAAAACUGAGACUAUGAAAAUUCUUACCUUUGUGAGCAACAAUCAGAUUAGCAGAACUCCUGGAAAAUAAUUUCUGGAGCAUCUCAAGCUGCUCAGGAGUAAAAGGACACUUUUCCGCUACUGUCACCAAAUUUCCCUGAAGCUCGGUAGCAUUUUCUAGUCUUGAAGGGUUUCGGUCAGCCGGCUUUCCAUGGAGUUUCCAGCACCGAUCGCACACAUGGUCGGGCUUCUUACAAUAAUCACAAAAGGGCCGACCUUUCUUGCCCCGACUGUCCAGACGCGUCAUGAGGGCAGACGCGUUCUCAACUGCAAUUGUCGUGAUCUGUCCUUCUCCCAUCAUGACUUUCUUCUGACUCUCCUCUCAUCGGACCUCAGAAAAAACUUCACGAAUAUUGGACAGCGGCUUCAAGCCCCAUAUUCAGCUGCGCACGUCAUCGAGAUAAGAGUUCAAACCUAGCAAGAACUUAAAAAUCCGCUUAUGUUCUGUAAUUACUUGAAAGGCUUUUGCAUCGUCCGCACAACUCCAUCGAUGUUCUUCAAACAUAUCAAGUUGUUGGCAACUGCGAGUUAGAAUGUUAUAGUAUUGAGUCACAGUAUACUCACCUUGUCGAAGAUCAGGGAGGGUGGACUCAAUCUCAAAAAUUGUUGAAGUAUUCUCCUUUGUUGAGUAGAACUCUCUCGCGGAUAUCCAGAUUUUGUGUGUUUCAUAAAGAAGAAAAUUUUUUCAAAUUUUCGGUAACAUAGAAUUUACUAGCCACGACAUCAUGAGGUUGUUCUCCAUCUUCCAUGUUUGCGCAUUGGGGUCGGUUGUCGGGAGCAGCGUUGCUUCACCGGUGAGAUAUUCCUCACGGCUUUUGCCCCGAAUGAAAAGCAACACUGAAGACGAAGGGAAGAUAGGCCCCGAAGAGACCUCGGGUGGAGAAGACAAUGUUCGACCAGAAGCCAUUUGCAAUUCUGGCUAACCCAAAAAGCAAUGGACAAGGAUCAGAAUGGCUGCUCUGAUACCGUGAAGGUUGACCUAAAAAUGA